UACGUAGGGUGCAAGCGUUAAUCGGAAUUACUGGGCGUAAAGCGUGCGCAGGCGGUUUUGUAAGUCUGACGUGAAAUCCCAGGGCUCAACCUGGGAAUUGCGUUGGAGACUGCAAGGCUAGAAUCUGGCAGAGGGGGGUAGAAUUCCACGUGUAGCAGUGAAAUGCGUAGAGAUGUGGAGGAACACCGAUGGCGAAGGCAGCCCCCUGGGUCAAGAUUGACGCUCAUGCACGAAAGCGUGGGGAGCAAACAGG
RNAcentral lists this ribosomal RNA (253 nucleotides) under uncultured bacterium. RNAcentral describes it as "partial 16S ribosomal RNA". It matches the Rfam family "Bacterial small subunit ribosomal RNA", at positions 524 to 776 of the family's 1533-position model. The record is from RNAcentral.